Molecule: ribosomal RNA, 503 nt
Filed under: Macrosiagon sp. UPOL ZL0086
Lineage: Eukaryota; Metazoa; Arthropoda; Insecta; Coleoptera; Ripiphoridae
Description: partial 16S ribosomal RNA
Rfam family: Bacterial large subunit ribosomal RNA (bases 377-503)
Source: RNAcentral
UUUAAAGUCGGGCCUGCCCAAUGAUUAUAAUUAUUGAAUGGCUGCAGUAUUUUGACUGUACAAAGGUAGCAUAAUCAUUAGUUUUUUAAUUGGAAACUGGUAUGAAUGGUUGGAUGAGAAAAUUUCUGUCUCAAUAUAAUUUUAUUUGAAUUUUAUUUUUAAGUAAAAAAGCUUAAAUUUUUUAAAAAGACGAGAAGACCCUUUAGAGUUUUAUAUAUAAUUUUAUAUUUUUUAUUAAGUAUUUUUGAUUUUAUAUUUUUAUAUAUUUUGUUGGGGUGACAAUAAAAUUUAUUUAACUUUUAUUAUAUAUUAUUUGAUCACUGAUUGGUGUUUAUUUGAUCCUAUUUUUUAGAUUAUAAGAAAUAAUUACCUUAGGGAUAACAGCGUAAUUUUCUUUGAGAGUUCUAAUCGAAAAGAGAGAUUGCGACCUCGAUGUUGGAUUAAAAUUUAUGUUUGGUGUAGUAGCUAAACAAUUAAGUCUGUUCGACUUUUAAAAUUUUACA